RNAcentral lists this non-coding RNA (28 nucleotides) under Homo sapiens (human). The record is from RNAcentral. Lineage: Eukaryota; Metazoa; Chordata; Mammalia; Primates; Hominidae.
UUGUGAUUUAGAAAGGUGCAUUCACUCA